Long non-coding RNA from Strongylocentrotus purpuratus (purple sea urchin), 469 nucleotides. RefSeq lists it as uncharacterized. Lineage: Eukaryota; Metazoa; Echinodermata; Echinoidea; Camarodonta; Strongylocentrotidae. The record is from RefSeq and is a predicted model, not a curated record. The transcript has 4 exons.
CUCACUUUAAUUAUGCAGAUUUAUGCACGACGCUACUAUACACUCGCACAAACUGAGAAGAGUUAGUUCAUUGAGAAUGGAUUGAAACUGAUGAAGAGCUGGAAGGAGUUAACUGAUGAGUAGACAUUACAACAUUUCUUAUAAUUUGCAAGAUGAAGCUGAAAGUCCCAUGCAGGAUGAUGCUUCUCUACAGUGGAUGAUGAAGGCAUGCUGAUUACAAACCCAGGAGAGGAACAAAGAACAGAUAUUGACAGAAGCAUAUCUAGAGAUGCGGGCCUACUACACUUCAUACGAGCAAGUGUGCUAAUAUACAAUACUUGGGUUAUCAUCACAGCCCUUUCUUCUGAAAACUAGCCUACAACUUCAUCGAUGAAUGCAGAAGACAUCUACAUGGGACUACGUCUUAAAGAUGCAACCCUCAUAUAAUGAAAGAGGACAUUAGAGAUGGGUUUAAACUUGAAUAUUUACA